UCCUUGUGGCUAUGGCGCUGUGUUCUCGAUGGCCUUUGUCGUUUCUCCCGGCGAUCGAUCGCGGCACCCCGAUGGAUCCCGAUCAAGCACUGCGCGCGAUCCGCAUUCAUCGUCGCGUUUGCUCGUAAUUUGUGCAAUCAUUUUUGAUCCCGUUCUUAAAGAUUGAUCUGAGUAGUUUGCUCCCUAGAUCUGCUGUCGAUCGAGCUGACAACGAAGUCAUCUAUCAUGAGGUUCUCCUGGAUGCGCUACGUCGACGAUGCCAGCUUUUGGGCUUUUGGGUUGGAAAAUUUAAAGCAACUUGAGAAAGUAAGAUUGAAUUGAAGACAAUAUCUAGUGCAUAUGCCUGAAGAUUUCUAAUUUAGCGCACCAAAGAAAGGGACUAUGGUCUGACAGAAGUGGUUGGCGAUUUCAAAAUUCAUUUCCUUGAUCGGCAGGGAGAUUUGUUUAUUGCUGAUUAAAUACUACAUUCACAGAGAAUAGGAAGUUUUUGAAUGCUUCUGAUCUUGAUGGCUUUGACAAGAGGAAGUUGCCAUAUCCAGAAUUCCAGAUUGAGUUGGUGUGCUUGUGGAUUAUGAUGGCGCUAAACCAAAUCCUCCAUGACAAACUGAUUCAAACACCAAGGAAUCUCCUGAUGGCACUACAUCUGCCACUAAAACUAAGAUUGCUGGGACUCUAAAAGCCAAGACAAGGACAACAGUUUCUCUGAUAGCGAAGAAGAAGGGUCUUCCAGGGGCAGGCGUCAAAAGAUGGGUGACGACGAUACACAUGGUUCAAAAGUUACAACAGAAGAAAUUGAAACAAAGACUUUGAAAGAGUAAAGCACAAGGAAUUGGAGACAUAUAAUUGAAGAAUGAACCAAAAGUCACUGAUUCUGUUGAUGCUAAAAUCAAAUCAA
Molecule: long non-coding RNA, 895 nt
Organism: Zingiber officinale
Lineage: Eukaryota; Viridiplantae; Streptophyta; Magnoliopsida; Zingiberales; Zingiberaceae
Exons: 5
Source: RefSeq, a predicted model, not a curated record